UACGGAGGGUGCAAGCGUUAUCCGGAUUUACUGGGUUUAAAGGGUGCGUAGGUGGGCAGGUAAGUCAGUGGUGAAAUCUCCGGGCUUAACCCGGAAACUGCCAUUGAUACUAUCUGUCUUGAAUAUCCUGGAGGUGAGCGGAAUAUGUCAUGUAGCGGUGAAAUGCUUAGAUAUGACAUAGAACACCUAUUGCGAAGGCAGCUCGCUACACUGUCAUUGACACUGAGGCACGAAAGCGUGGGGAUCAAACAGG
RNAcentral lists this ribosomal RNA (253 nucleotides) under uncultured bacterium. Its description in RNAcentral is "partial 16S ribosomal RNA". It matches the Rfam family "Bacterial small subunit ribosomal RNA", at positions 524 to 776 of the family's 1533-position model. The record is from RNAcentral.